AUUGAACGCUGGCGGCAUGCCUUACACAUGCAAGUCGAACGGCAGCACGGGAGCAAUCCUGGUGGCGAGUGGCGAACGGGUGAGUAAUAUAUCGGAACGUGCCCAGUCGCGGGGGAUAACGCAGCGAAAGGUGUCAUAAUACCGCAUACUAUCUACGGAUGAAAGGUGGGGAGCGCAAGACCGCGCCAGAUUGGAGCGGCCGAUAUCAGAUUAGCUAGAUGGUGAGGUAAGGGCUCACCAAGGCGACGAUGUGUAGCUGGUCUGAGAGGACGACCAGCCACACUGGAACUGAGACACGGUCCAGACUCCUACGGGAGGCAGCAGUGGGGAAUUUUGGACAAUGGGCGAAAGCCUGAUCCAGUAAUGCCGCGUGCAGGAUGAAGGCCUUCGGGUUGUAAACUGAUUUUGUACGGAACGAAACGGUGAGCUCUAAUACAGUUUGCUAAUGACGGUACCGUAAGAAUAAGCACCGGCUAACUACGUGCCAGCAGCCGCCGUAA
This 500-nucleotide ribosomal RNA is filed under the name uncultured bacterium. Its description in RNAcentral is "partial 16S ribosomal RNA". It matches the Rfam family "Bacterial small subunit ribosomal RNA", at positions 30 to 523 of the family's 1533-position model. The record is from RNAcentral.